Molecule: ribosomal RNA, 482 nt
Filed under: uncultured beta proteobacterium
Lineage: Bacteria; Pseudomonadati; Pseudomonadota; Betaproteobacteria
Description: bacterial SSU rRNA
Rfam family: Bacterial small subunit ribosomal RNA
Source: RNAcentral
GAAAGGGAGCCUGGACACAGGUGCUGCAUGGCUGUCGUCAGCUCGUGUCGUGAGAUGUUGGGUUAAGUCCCGCAACGAGCGCAACCCUUGUCAUUAAUUGCCAUCAUUCAGUUGGGCACUUUAAUGAGACUGCCGGUGACAAACCGGAGGAAGGUGGGGAUGACGUCAAGUCCUCAUGGCCCUUAUGGGUAGGGCUUCACACGUCAUACAAUGGUCGGUACAGAGGGUUGCCAAGCCGCGAGGUGGAGCCAAUCCCAGAAAGCCAGUCGUAGUCCGGAUCGCAGUCUGCAACUCGACUGCGUGAAGUCGGAAUCGCUAGUAAUCGCGGAUCAGCAUGUCGCGGUGAAUACGUUCCCGGGUCUUGUACACACCGCCCGUCACACCAUGGGAGUGGGUUCUGCCAGAAGUAGUUAGCCUAACCGUAAGGAGGGCGAUUACCACGGUAGGAUUCAUGACUGGGGUGAAGUCGUAACAAGGUAACC